RNAcentral lists this ribosomal RNA (497 nucleotides) under uncultured bacterium. RNAcentral describes it as "partial 16S ribosomal RNA". It matches the Rfam family "Bacterial small subunit ribosomal RNA", at positions 28 to 507 of the family's 1533-position model. The record is from RNAcentral.
GAUGAACGCUGGCGGCGUGCCUAAUACAUGCAAGUCGAGCGAACGGACGAGAAGCUUGCUUCUCUGAUGUUAGCGGCGGACGGGUGAGUAACACGUGGAUAACCUACCUAUAAGACUGGGAUAACUUCGGGAAACCGGAGCUAAUACCGGCUAAUAUUUUGAACCGCAUGGUUCAAAAGUGAAAGACGGUCUUGCUGUCACUUAUAGAUGGAUCCGCGCUGCAUUAGCUAGUUGGUAAGGUAACGGCAUACCAAGGCAACGAUGCAUAGCCGACCUGAGAGGGUGAUCGGCCACACUGGAACUGAGACACGGUCCAGACUCCUACGGGAGGCAGCAGUAGGGAAUCUUCCGCAAUGGGCGAAAGCCUGACCGAGCAACGCCGCGUGAGUGAUGAAGGUCUUCGGAUCGUAAAGCUCUGUUAUUAGGGAAGAACAGAUGUAUAAGUAACUGUGCACAUCUUGACGGUACCUAAUCAGAAAGCCACGGCUAACUACGUG